ACAUUAGUUUCCGUUUGUUUUUUUAACUUAGGGUUGGCUGGAAAACAGCAUUGCUUUUAAUAAAAAAAAAAAAAAAUGGAGGUUUCAACAUUUGCUUUCUUUCAGCUUAGGGAUGAAAUUGAAACUGCUGAACAAAAUCAGUGACCCCCCUCCGCAAGCCACCCGAAUCAGCCCUCCAGCCGGCUCGAGCUGUUUGGUCAAAAACUAUCAGCUGAGGUAGGACCGUCACAUAGGAAGAUGAUGAACUCCAGCACCUUAUAAAUCUGAAACUAAAGCAGUACCGAAAAAAGAGAAAGUGCGGUGAACGUCCUUUUAGUGCCUCUUUCUGUUCUUCAGGGAUGAAAUUCUCUCUUCUCUACCAUUUAUAGGCAGCGGGAGUAACUCUGACGGCCCGCCGAGCCUCGGGCUCCAGCGUGGCGGCCGUCCCUCUGGCCGGGAUGGGCAGGGCAGGCUCCCAGCUCUUCUCCCCCAGCCUUAUCACCGGAGCUGGGCUAGCUCUCCAAAACAUAUUUUAUUUACACUUCAGUCUUCAACUGCACAUCAGAGAGCCUCUCACUACAUCUGGGCUGCUUCAGCCACUGCAGUCCAUCAAACGUUUAAGAAGGCACAGAAAGAUAAGAAAUUAUGUGGGCGAGAUGCUGGUCUGGGAGCCUGGAGGCCUUGGGAGCGCUCCAGCCUCAGCCGCCGGGUCUGGAUCGGAUGCCACCUUCGGAUUCAAAUACAAACAACAACGACGACGACAAAUGGAAGGUUGCUCAGAGAACAGAGAAAAUCCUGCACUUUAUCACCAGUUUAAAUCCACCGGAGAAGGGAAGCUGUCUCUGAGGAGGUGACGUUUGGUUUCCUGUGCAUCUGCCAUCUGGCGUACCUGCCAUAGCCAGGCCCGUACGCGCGGCACUGCUGAAUUCGGAAGCAGUAUGGCCCACACAGUGCAGCGCUCCAUAGCAAUGUGCUUUUUUUUUAAGGAGGAACACUAGAAGCACUUCAGGUUUUUCAUUCUAAGAGUUAUUUUAAUAAAUAACUUUCAAUCUCUUUGUCUUUUGGGUAU
RNAcentral lists this long non-coding RNA (1048 nucleotides) under Struthio camelus australis. Its description in RNAcentral is "lncRNA (ENSSCUG00000003043.1)". Lineage: Eukaryota; Metazoa; Chordata; Aves; Struthioniformes; Struthionidae. The record is from RNAcentral.